Molecule: ribosomal RNA, 423 nt
Filed under: uncultured bacterium
Lineage: Bacteria
Description: bacterial SSU rRNA
Rfam family: Bacterial small subunit ribosomal RNA
Source: RNAcentral
UAUUGGACAAUGGGCGCAAGCCUGAUCCAGCCAUGCCGCGUGUGUGAAGAAGGCCUUAUGGUUGUAAAACACUUUAAGCGAGGAGGAGGCUACUUUAGUUAAUACCUAGAGAUAGUGGACGUUACUCGCAGAAUAAGCACCGGCGAACUCGGUGCCAGCAGCCGCGGUAAUACAGAGGGUGCAAGCGUUAAUCGGAUUUACUGGGCGUAAAGCGCGCGUAGGCGGCUAAUUAAGUCAAAUGUGAAAUCCCCGAGCUUAACUUGGGAAUUGCAUUCGAUACUGGUUAGCUAGAGUGUGGGAGAGGAUGGUAGAAUUCCAGGUGUAGCGGUGAAAUGCGUAGAGAUCUGGAGGAAUACCGAUGGCGAAGGCAGCCAUCUGGCCUAACACUGACGCUGGGGUGCGAAAGCAUGGGGAGCAAACAGG